This 72-nucleotide transfer RNA is filed under the name Camelus bactrianus (Bactrian camel). It matches the Rfam family "tRNA". Rfam says of the family: Transfer RNA (tRNA) molecules are approximately 80 nucleotides in length. Their secondary structure includes four short double-helical elements and three loops (D, anti-codon, and T loops). Lineage: Eukaryota; Metazoa; Chordata; Mammalia; Artiodactyla; Camelidae. The record is from Rfam by way of RNAcentral. RNAcentral also lists the same sequence under 2 other names.
UGGGGUAUAGCUCAGUGGUGGAGUGUGUGCUUAGCAUACACAAGGUACUGGGUUCAAUCCCCAGCACCUCCA